CGGCGGACGGGUGAGUAAUGCCUAGGAAUCUGCCUGGUAGUGGGGGACAACGUUUCGAAAGGAACGCUAAUACCGCAUACGUCCUACGGGAGAAAGCAGGGACCUUCGGGCCUUGCGCUAUCAGAUGAGCCUAGGUCGGAUUAGCUAGUUGGUGAGGUAAUGGCUCACCAAGGCGACGAUCCGUAACUGGUCUGAGAGGAUGAUCAGUCACACUGGAACUGAGACACGGUCCAGACUCCUACGGGGGCAGCAGGA
Molecule: ribosomal RNA, 255 nt
Filed under: uncultured Pseudomonas sp.
Lineage: Bacteria; Pseudomonadati; Pseudomonadota; Gammaproteobacteria; Pseudomonadales; Pseudomonadaceae
Description: partial 16S ribosomal RNA
Rfam family: Bacterial small subunit ribosomal RNA
Source: RNAcentral